AAUUAGAUUAGGCUAACUCACCUUUAUUUAGGUUUAAACUAAUUAGGUUUGGAUGAAACCCAAUUAAGAAGCGAAUAACCAAAACCUUAGAGUCCAAAUUAGUUGGAGUUCCUCACUUGCGCCACAUCUCUUCUCCAUACCACUUCUCAUCGUACAAAAUAAGUUUGUGCAUGAGAAAAACUCUAACAAGAGCCCCUUGUUGUUGCCCAC
This 210-nucleotide long non-coding RNA is filed under the name Elaeis guineensis (African oil palm). RNAcentral describes it as "long non-coding RNA (EGUI_LNC044674)". Lineage: Eukaryota; Viridiplantae; Streptophyta; Magnoliopsida; Arecales; Arecaceae. The record is from RNAcentral.